AACGAACGCUGGCGGCAUGCCUAACACAUGCAAGUCGAACGAGACCUUCGGGUCUAGUGGCGCACGGGUGCGUAACGCGUGGGAACCUGCCCUUAGGUUCGGAAUAACUCCCCGAAAGGGGUGCUAAUACCGGAUAAUGUCUUCGGACCAAAGAUUUAUCGCCUUUGGAUGGGCCCGCGUUGGAUUAGCUAGUUGGUGGGGUAAAAGCCUACCAAGGCGACGAUCCAUAGCUGGUCUGAGAGGAUGAUCAGCCACACUGGGACUGAGACACGGCCUAGACUCCUACGGGAGGCAGCAGUGGGGAAUAUUGGACAAUGGGCGAAAGCCUGAUCCAGCAAUGCCGCGUGAGUGAUGAAGGCCUUAGGGUUGUAAAGCUCUUUUACCCGGGAUGAUAAUGACAGUACCGGGAGAAUAAGCUCCGGCUAACUCCGUG
This 433-nucleotide ribosomal RNA is filed under the name uncultured bacterium. RNAcentral's name for it is "partial 16S ribosomal RNA". It matches the Rfam family "Bacterial small subunit ribosomal RNA", at positions 29 to 507 of the family's 1533-position model. The record is from RNAcentral.